AUAUACAUACAUACAUACAUACCAGUUCUCGUCUGAUCACUGAAGUCAAGCUACGUUGGGCACGGUUAAUACUUGGAUGGGUGACCGCUUGGGAACACCGUGUGACGUUAACA
Molecule: ribosomal RNA, 113 nt
Filed under: Mycetomoellerius zeteki
Lineage: Eukaryota; Metazoa; Arthropoda; Insecta; Hymenoptera; Formicidae
Source: RNAcentral